UACGAAGGGGGCGAGCGUUGUUCGGAUUUACUGGGCGUAAAGGGCGCGCAGGCGGUCUUGAAAGUCAGGCGUGAAAGCCCCGGGCUCAACCUGGGAAUUGCAUUUGAGACUGCGUAGCUAGGGUGCGGAAGAGGGAAGCGGAAUUUCCGGUGUAGCGGUGAAAUGCGUAGAUAUCGGAAGGAACACCAGUGGCGAAAGCGGCUUCCUGGUCCAGCACCGACGUUCAGGCACGAAAGCGUGGGGAGCAAACAGG
This 253-nucleotide ribosomal RNA is filed under the name uncultured bacterium. RNAcentral's name for it is "partial 16S ribosomal RNA". It matches the Rfam family "Bacterial small subunit ribosomal RNA", at positions 524 to 776 of the family's 1533-position model. The record is from RNAcentral.